RNAcentral lists this ribosomal RNA (465 nucleotides) under uncultured bacterium. RNAcentral's name for it is "partial 16S ribosomal RNA". It matches the Rfam family "Bacterial small subunit ribosomal RNA", at positions 339 to 795 of the family's 1533-position model. The record is from RNAcentral.
CUACGGGGGGCUGCAGUGAGGAAUUUUGCGCAAUGGGGGAAACCCUGACGCAGCAACGCCGCGUGAGUGAUGAAGGCCUUCGGGUCGUAAAACUCUGUCAAGUGGGAAGAACCUAUGUAAGGUUAAUACCCUUAUGUACUGACGGUACCACUGAAGGAAGCACCGGCUAACUCCGUGCCAGCAGCCGCGGUAAUACGGAGGGUGCAAGCGUUACUCGGAAUUAUUGGGCGUAAAGGGCGCGCAGGCGGUUUUGUAAGUCAGAUGUGAAAGCCCGGGGCUUAACCUCGGAAGUGCAUUUGAUACUGCAAGACUUGAGUAUGGGAGGGGGAAGUGGAAUUCCUGGUGUAGAGGUGAAAUUCGUAGAUAUCAGGAGGAACACCAGUGGCGAAGGCGACUUCCUGGACCAAUACUGACGCUGAGGCGCGAAGGCGUGGGGAGCAAACAGGAUUAGAUACCCCUGUAGUC